GAUGAACGCUGGCGGCGUGCCUAAUACAUGCAAGUCGAGCGAACAGACGAGGAGCUUGCUCCUCUGACGUUAGCGGCGGACGGGUGAGUAACACGUGGAUAACCUACCUAUAAGACUGGGAUAACUUCGGGAAACCGGAGCUAAUGCCGGAUAAUAUAUUGAACCGCAUGGUUCAAUAGUGAAAGACGGUUUUGCUGUCACUUAUAGAUGGAUCCGCGCCGCAUUAGCUAGUUGGUAAGGUAACGGCUUACCAAGGCAACGAUGCGUAGCCGCCCUGAGAGGGUGAUCGGCCACACUGGAACUGAGACACGGUCCAGACUCCUGCGGGAGGCAGCAGUAGAGAAUCUUACGCAAUGGGGGAGAGCCUGACGGAGCAACGCCGCGUGAGUGAUGAAGGUCUUCGGAUCGUAAAACUCUGUUAUUAGUGAAGAACAAAUGUGUAAGUAACUAUGCACGUCUUGACGGUACCUGGUCAGAAAGCCACGGCUAACUACGUG
RNAcentral lists this ribosomal RNA (497 nucleotides) under uncultured bacterium. RNAcentral's name for it is "partial 16S ribosomal RNA". It matches the Rfam family "Bacterial small subunit ribosomal RNA", at positions 28 to 507 of the family's 1533-position model. The record is from RNAcentral.